GACGAACGCUGGCGGUGUGCUUAACACAUGCAAGUCGAACGGUAAGGCCCUUUCGGGGGUACACGAGUGGCGAACGGGUGAGUAACACGUGAGUAACCUGCCCUCAUCUCUGGGAUAACAGUCGGAAACGGUUGCUAAUACUGGAUAUGAGCUUGCAAGGCAUCUUGUGGGUUGGAAAGAUUUUUUUUGGUUGGGGAUGGACUCGCGGCCUAUCAGCUUGUUGGUGAGGUAGUGGCUCACCAAGGCUUCGACGGGUAGCCGGCCUGAGAGGGCGACCGGCCACAUUGGGACUGAGAUACGGCCCAAACUCCUACGGGAGGCAGCAGUGGGGAAUAUUGCACAAUGGACGGAAGUCUGAUGCAGCAACGCCGCGUGCGGGAUGACGGCCUUCGGGUUGUAAACCGCUUUCAAUUGUGGCGAAGCUUUUUUGUGACGGUAGCAGUAGAAGAAGCACCGGCUAACUACGUG
Molecule: ribosomal RNA, 468 nt
Filed under: uncultured bacterium
Lineage: Bacteria
Description: partial 16S ribosomal RNA
Rfam family: Bacterial small subunit ribosomal RNA
Source: RNAcentral